ACCACCGCCGUCUACUCUUGGCCAGCCUUCUGAAAGGAAGAUUAAUCCAGGAUGGCAUCAUGAGUUCACAUGUCCGCAUGAUUAAAGGUAUUUUCCGGUAGACGAUGGGGAUGCGUUCCAUUAGAUAGUAGGCGGGGUAACGGCCCACCUAGUCAACGAUGGAUAGGGGUUCUGAGAGGAAGGUCCCCCACAUUGGAACUGAGACACGGUCCAA
Molecule: ribosomal RNA, 214 nt
Filed under: uncultured bacterium
Lineage: Bacteria
Description: partial 16S ribosomal RNA
Rfam family: Bacterial small subunit ribosomal RNA
Source: RNAcentral